RNAcentral lists this unclassified non-coding RNA (1744 nucleotides) under Hevea brasiliensis (rubber tree). The record is from RNAcentral. Lineage: Eukaryota; Viridiplantae; Streptophyta; Magnoliopsida; Malpighiales; Euphorbiaceae.
GUUGGUUUUGACUCUUUAGAGCCUGGAAAUUUCCCUUGGAUGAUGUAUCACAAUGUAAUUAUAAGCAUCUAAGGUCAAAAAAUCAUCCAAACUUGGAGCUGUGCAUUGCCUUGUGAACAUCUUGCAAGCUUCUUUGUACAUUCCCUUCUUGAAUUUCUCUUUCCCAACUUCCUUUUCAAUCCUUUCCAUUUCUUCUUCCACCACUCUCCCAAACAAUUCCUUGUUAACUCUAACACCAAGCCCAUCCCCAUCCAAUUCCACUCCAUACUUCAACCAUUGCCAGUUUUGAACCCUGCUGAUUUCUGCUGUGGCUGCAUCUUCCAUAAGGUUGUAUAGAGGCACCGAGCCAACUCCCGUUAACCAUGCAGCUAGGUACUGAAUUCCGACUCGGGUGUUCAAACGAAGCCCUUCCAUUGUACGAACACCCCUCGGUCGCUGUAAAAGGUCUUCUUCGGUUAGGUUUUCAGCAUCAUCUCGUCUCACGGAUCGAAUUUGGUUGGGGGCAUUCCCCAUGUUGUUGGUGAAGACUUCCAUACAAGCUGGGAUUAAACCUGGAUGUGCUGCCCAUGUUCCAUCAUGUCCUGCUUUUACUUCCCUCAAUUUGUCCUUCCUCACUAACUCAAGUGCUACCUCAUUUGCCUUCGGAUCGUCUCUAAUUGGAAUUUGAGCAGCCAUGCCUCCCAUGGCGUGGACACCACGCCUAUGACAAGUUCUGAUAAGGAGAUCAGAAUAGCUCCUCAUGAAAUGUUGGGUCAUACCAACUUGGACCCGAUCGGGUAAUAGACGAUCAGGGUGAGCCUGGAAGGUUUUGACAUAGCUGAAUAUGUAAUCCCAUCUACCACAGUUCAAUCCUACAGAGUGAUCUCUUAGCUCAUAGAGUAUUUCAUUCAUUUGAAACACUGCUGGAAGUGUUUCAAUUAGGACAGUGGCCCUGAUGCUGCCCUUCUCUAUCCCUGCCAUCUUCUCUGCCCUCUCAAAUACACUGUUCCAUAUUUUAGCUUCUCUGGAGUGCUCCAUUUUGGGAAGGUAAAAGAAAGGGCCAUAACCUUGACCUUGAGAGCGCCGAAAAUUGGAAUGGUUGUGGAAAAAGUAGAGCCCAAAGUCCACAAGACAGCCGGUGGCAGGCUCGCCAUCGAUGAAUAUAUGAGCCUCAGGCAAGUGCCAACCUCGAGGGCGGACGAAGAGCUUGGCUAUCUGAUCAUUAAGCUUAUAAACUCUGUUUCUAGCUCUGUCAUGGAAGCUUAUAGUCCCAUCUACUGCAUCCUUAAGAUUAAUUUGCCCUCUCAUCAAAUUCUCCCAAUUUGGUGACAGUGCAUCUUCAAAAUCCGCCAUGAAAACUUUAGCUCCAGAAUUAAGUGCGUUGAUGAUCAUCUUCCGCUCCACAGGUCCGGUGAUCUCCACUCUCCGAUCAGCAACCACCGGUGGGACAGGGGCACAUGUCCACUCAGAAUCCCUUAUAUACUUGGUGGCUGGAUCGAACCCCGGCAACGCUCCUUCAUUAUACCUCCUCUUAGCUUCUCUGCGGCAUUCCAUCGAAUACUUAAUGUGGUUUCUGAAAGUCCUCUGCAAAUCAGCCACAAACAGCAAGGCUUCCUUGUUGAGAAUCUUGGCAAAUUCUUCAUCAUAGCGUCCUCGAAUGUCCACUCCCUCUGGAACGUCAUAGCCUCUGCUUCCCUUCUUCGUUACUCCUGAUUCUGAAUAAAUUCCGAGCGAUCCCAUCUUCUUUCUUCUUCCUCAAGUGAAA